GAUGAACGCUGGCGGCAUGCCUUACACAUGCAAGUCGAACGGUAACAGGUCUUCGGAUGCUGACGAGUGGCGAACGGGUGAGUAAUACAUCGGAACGUGCCUAGUAGUGGGGGAUAACUACUCGAAAGAGUGGCUAAUACCGCAUGAGAUCUACGGAUGAAAGCAGGGGAUCGCCAGACCUUGUGCUACUAGAGCGGCCGAUGGCAGAUUAGGUAGUUGGUGGGAUAAAAGCUUACCAAGCCGACGAUCUGUAGCUGGUCUGAGAGGACGAUCAGCCACACUGGGACUGAGACACGGCCCAGACUCCUACGGGAGGCAGCAGUGGGGAAUUUUGGACAAUGGGCGAAAGCCUGAUCCAGCAAUGCCGCGCGCAGGAUGAAGGCCUUCGGGUUGUAAACUGCUUUUGUACGGAACGAAAAGCCCCGGGUUAAUACCCUGGGGUCAUGACGGUACCGUAAGAAUAAGCACCGGCUAACUACGUGCCAGCCGCCGCGGUAA
Molecule: ribosomal RNA, 498 nt
Filed under: uncultured bacterium
Lineage: Bacteria
Description: partial 16S ribosomal RNA
Rfam family: Bacterial small subunit ribosomal RNA
Source: RNAcentral